Molecule: transfer RNA, 70 nt
Filed under: Corvus cornix cornix
Lineage: Eukaryota; Metazoa; Chordata; Aves; Passeriformes; Corvidae
Description: tRNA-Asp
Source: RNAcentral
GAGGUGUUAGUAAAACUAUUACAUAGUCUUGUCAAGACUAAAUUACAGGUGAAAGCCCAGUACACCUCAA